UACGGGGGGGGCAAGCGUUGUUCGGAAUUACUGGGCGUAAAGGGCGCGUAGGCGGCUUAUCAAGUCAGGCGUGAAAUUCCCGGGCUCAACCUGGGGGCUGCGCUUGAUACUGCUUGGCUUGAAUGCGGGAGAGGAUAGUGGAAUUCCCAGUGUAGAGGUGAAAUUCGUAGAUAUUGGGAAGAACACCGGUGGCGAAGGCGGCUAUCUGGCCCGUAAUUGACGCUGAGGCGCGAAAGCGUGGGGAGCAAACAGG
Molecule: ribosomal RNA, 253 nt
Filed under: uncultured bacterium
Lineage: Bacteria
Description: partial 16S ribosomal RNA
Rfam family: Bacterial small subunit ribosomal RNA
Source: RNAcentral